AUGCAUCAAACUAAGAUUGAUGUAAAGACACCAAGCACUGCCAUCAAGUUAGCACUUUUAAACAUUCGCUCACUAAAAAAUAAAUCAUUUCUAAUCAAUGACUUUAUAACCACAAACAAUCUGGAUUUUAUGUUUCUAAAUGAAACAUGGCUAGAAGACAGCUGCAGGGCAACAAUCCUAAAUGAAGCAGCCCCUCCUAACUUCACUUACAUGAGUGUUUGCAGGACUGUUAGGAGAGGUGGGGGUGUAGCUGCUCUAUUUAAAGAUGUCUAUCAAUGCAAGCAAGUGUCAUUUGGUCAGUACUUGUCCUUUGAAUAUCUAGGGAUUGUGCUGAAAGGUGCUCCAUGCAUUCUGUUUAUUAUUACUUACAGGCCUCCAAAAUACUCUCCAGCCUUUGUUGAAGAGGUCACAGAAAUGUUAUCAAUGAUUUCCUCAGAGUUUGACUGUUUUGCAAUAGCAGGGGAUUUUAAUAUUCACAUAGAUAAUGCAGAAAACAAAACUACAAAAGAAAUGAUAACGGUUCUAAACACUUUUGACUUGACUCAGCAUGUGCAUGGACCCACACACAAAGGUGGACACACUCUGGAUCUAAUCAUCAGUAGGGGUCUAAACAUUUCAUCCAUUGUUAUUAAGGACAUAGCACUAUCUGAUCACUUCAGUAUUUUCUUUGAUAUAUUGAUCUCUGCUACCACUGAAUCUAGAUCUGUCUCUGUCAGAAGGAGAUGCAUAAACGAGAACACAAGUGUACUAUUUAUGGAGGCUAUAUCUUUAACACCAAGCAUUUCUGCAGACUCUGUUGAUAUUCUCCUUGAUUCCUUCAACUCAAAAGUUAAGAAUGUUAUUGAUGAUAUUGCUCCAAUAAUAGUCAGUAAGAAAACAGACAGAGAGAAAUCAGUUUGGAGAAGAUCAACAGCAGUUCAGACUAUGAAAAGACAAUGCAGAAAAGCCGAGCGGAUGUGGAGGAAGACGAAACUUGAAAUUCACUAUAGCAUCUAUAAAGACAGCCUUCAUGCUUUUAAUGUGAAACUAGCCACAGCUCAAACCUUAUAA
This is a long non-coding RNA of Carassius auratus (goldfish), 1050 nucleotides long. The record is from Ensembl. NCBI's taxonomy places the organism in Eukaryota, Metazoa, Chordata, Actinopteri, Cypriniformes, Cyprinidae.